GACGAACCGAGCGAACGUUGUUCGGAAUCACUGGGCUUAAAGGGCGCGUAGGCGGGCUCUCAAGUCCGGGGUGAAAUCCUCCAGCUCAACUGGAGAACUGCCUCGGAUACUGGGGGUCUCGAGGGUGGUAGGGGUAUGCGGAACUAUCGGUGGAGCGGUGAAAUGCGUUGAUAUCGAUAGGAACUCCGGUGGCGAAGGCGGCAUACUGGACCACAUCUGACGCUGAGGCGCGAAAGCCAGGGGAGCAAACGGG
RNAcentral lists this ribosomal RNA (253 nucleotides) under uncultured bacterium. RNAcentral describes it as "partial 16S ribosomal RNA". It matches the Rfam family "Bacterial small subunit ribosomal RNA", at positions 524 to 776 of the family's 1533-position model. The record is from RNAcentral.